Molecule: long non-coding RNA, 5239 nt
Organism: Notothenia coriiceps (black rockcod)
Lineage: Eukaryota; Metazoa; Chordata; Actinopteri; Perciformes; Nototheniidae
Exons: 4
Source: RefSeq, a predicted model, not a curated record
CAUGGCUGUUAUCUGAUCCGCCCUGUGUGCGUGUGUGUCUCAGCAGCCUACCCCGCUGCAUACGGCCAGAUCAGCCAAGCCUUCCCCCACCCUCCACCCAUCAUUCCUCAGCAGCAACGAGAAGGACCAGAGGGUUGCAACCUGUUCAUCUACCACCUCCCUCAGGAGUUUGGGGAUGGAGAGCUGAUGCAGAUGUUCCUGCCUUUCGGUAAUGUCAUCUCCUCCAAAGUGUUUGUGGAUCGGGCGACAAACCAAAGUAAAUGCUUUGGGUUUGUCAGCUUUGACAACCCAGGCAGUGCCCAAGCUGCCAUCCAAUCAAUGAACGGCUUCCAGAUCGGCAUGAAAAGACUCAAGGUGCAGCUGAAGAGGCCGAAGGACGCCAACCGCCCCUACUAGCCCCCCGCCCCAGCCAGCCGCCACCCCCCUGGCGGCCGGGGCAGCCGUCGCACACAGGGAAAGACAGGUUUUGUUGAGCUGAAUCAUAUGUUGACUUCUUGCUACCCGCCACUGAGUGCAAACUCGACAUCCGGACCACUGAGGCUGCUUCAGAAAAACAGAGGAGAGAGAGAGAAAACGAUGACCGAGUCAAGGACGCCUCCUUUUGGAUGUACUAAAACUUUGGAACUCAGAGAGAAUUUGUACCAGCCUGGUUAGCCCCAGGACCUUUUUUCUUCUGCACACAUAUACACACCUCUUCCCCCCACAAAACCCUGCUUGAAUGACAGCUACCUUUUUUCUGGACCACAAAAAAACUUUUACUUGAACAAUGAGGAGAACAAAAACAGUAAGAGUAACUCGAUCAAACCUACUUACAAUGACCAACCCUACUGAACUCUUAAAGGGAAUACGGAUGUCAAAAGUCCAACAAGAACAAAAACUUUUUAAAAACUGAGUAGAAGAUUGCCGUAGGAGAUCUUUCCGUAAGAUGGUUUGAGUUUGGGGCAAUUGACUUUUGAAGACCAAUUUAUAAGACUUGAAACGCGAAGGGACAAGAAAUUCUCGGCGAGAGAACUUAAGUAGGGAAUGUGAUAUUUUCAGGACACAAAUUGGCUUCGAUUUGGGAUGGCCAUCUUUAGCUCGGAGUGCCUGUCCGUUUCCAGGGGAUACCGUUGCCAAGGAGAGCCAUAGCAACGGUCUCCAGGGAGUCUUACCUGUCAUUCCUUAGUUGUUUUAGGGACCAAAAGACCAAACGUUUUUAUUGCUGAGGACUUGUAGCUCUAAUAUACUCGGACCACUGCAUCUCCUUCAGUCAGUGUAUACUGGUUGGGGAGUUGCACUUAAAAGAAGUGUACAUUUCGAAUAUAUACAACACAUGUAUAUAUACAUAUAUAUUGCUGAUAUGCUUUUUUGAAUACAGGCAAAACUAUUUCAGAUGACCAGAUGGGGUCUCUCACUUCGCUAGUUUACAAUUACUCAAAAUGUUUAUUUUUUUCUCUUCUCAUUUUGUCUUGGGAGGGAUGGCGAGUGCAUGGGAGGGGCUGCUCCGUAUCACAGCCUUAUCUUUUUUAACUUGACAUCCUAACCUCAUAGAUAGAAUAACAUCAGAAACGUUUGAAAUAUAUGAACUUGUUUAUAUUUGCAGUACAUAUAUAUGUAUAACAAGCAUUCAAGCAAAUGUAUUCAUAUAUACAGUAUAUAUGGAUAAAUAGAUAUUAAUCACAAACAAAUAUAUGUAUUUAUAUGCACAUAUUUUAUAUAUGUGUGUCUGUAUAUAGAACGGCUACUGACUAUGUUGAGCUGUAAUUUUUUGUAGAUUUUAGCUGGAGUUUGAAACAUUGCUCUGCUUGGGAAGAAUCGCAAAUCUGGCAGCUCCCAAAACUGCAGGCAUUCCUAUCUCUGAUUAACUAUAUGCUGACACACGAUAUAUUGCUAAAAGAUACAUGUGUGAGGAUGCACACAUGGUGUAAAUAUUAUCUGAAAAUGCAAAAAGCCACAUCUCAGUAGCAGGCUUUAAGAGAAUCAGGCUAAAUGAUUUUAGAGGAAAAGGACAAUUAUCUUCGACUCUAUUCCAAACAUAUCUUUUGAGCUUACACACAAACACACACACACACACACACACAAACUUCUCUUUGAAACUUGAACCAAAAUGAAUACGUCUCACAACCCUUGCUCUCUUUUGCAUUCAGUAAAGUGCAUGUAGCGUAUGGGCUGUCACCAUGUCAAGGUGUGCCUUGUCACCUGCAGAAUCUGCCAUCAAGCACUGUGCUCUCAGAAAACAACGAAAGAAAAAAAAAAAUUGCUCAACACAUACCACUGCAAGCAGCCAACGCGCUAUUAUGAUGUCAAAACUACAGCCAGAUCCAUAUCAUUUGUCAGCCGCGUAGAGAGCUUCAGUGCAUGUCCAAUGUUACAGCUGUUGGCCAUCAAUGUCUCUAAAAAAAAGCAUUUAGAAAUAAUCAUGCGAUUACCCUUCAAAUAAAAGCGGGCAUUAGGUAACCUGUUAGCACAGGUGCUAACUAUCAAAGCUGUGUACUUUCCACUGGUUGGAGUCUAGGGUAAAUGUCAGGGUUGCGACUGACAUGACGUGUCUUGAUAUGAGAAGUGAUUGAGCUCAUCGGACCCGACAUUAGGCUUGAAUGGUUAUGAAAGUGAUGUCAUAUUGAUGAAUAUGCUCUAAUUAGAGCGCGGGCAUCCCAUUGAGCAGAAUAAGGGAGGGUUUGAUGUACUUUCACAUCCAGCAGUUAAUGUGUGGAUCUGCUGGUAAUACUUGACAUGAAGCAUAUCCUUUAGAAGAUGUUAUAUUGCCUUAUCCUCAUACACUCAAAUAUAAAACAUAAAAGUAUAAUGAAACUGUAAAAUGAAGCAAUAAGAGUGAAAAGCCAUUUUCCCAUUAGAACUGCUGUGCCACUGAGGCUGGUUUCAUAUUGCUUUAGCAUACAGUUUCUCAUAAAAGUCUACAAAAAUGGUAUGAACACUUACCAUACACCUGCAAAAGGUCAACGGACUUGGAUUUAUUGGUCCCCGCAUUCAACACAUAUUCAGCUGGUGGAGAUUACUCAAUGAAUAUUUAUAUAUCUGAAUAUUUAUAAGGCUAUAUGACACUUUGGAAGACAAUGCUUCCUGUUGGGUGCUAUUACUAGUUUUUCCUAUAAAUUGCUCAUUAUGCCCUUUCCCUGGUGUCUGUGUGUAACCUUUUUAGCAGAUUGAAUAAUUUAACAUUUACCUUCCAAAUCCAGUGGGGCUAAAAGACGCCACUCCACAUCCCAGGAUGCCACUGUUUGUAUAUGCCACAUAACAAGGCCCCCACUGUGGCGUACAGUGUGAAACCAGAUGACCAUCGUGAUCAUUUUCACCCCGACAGUAGCCGCCGUUGGUUAGUACAAAACGUCCGGCUGCCUUUGAGCUAACAGUAACAUCCGGAGCUAAAUGUCAUGUGUCUGGUGUCCCUGAUCGCCACACUGUGCCCUCUUUGACUGGCCCUCGCCGCUCUGAGGAAAUUGAAAAAAGGUGUGGACACGGUCUGUGCUUUUUAAUGGUUUGUUUGAGCAAUCACUCAUGUCUUUCACCUAGCCCAUGUUUUCAUGUUGAGGGAAGUGAGGGAGGAGAAGCAGAUCGACAGCGGGAACUAGAAAGCCAAUCACCUCUUCUUCAUUUGCUCCGACUUAAAGCUGCAAGUUUACAUGAGAAAAGAAAAAACAAAGUAUUGUGGUUCAAAAACAACAAGAAACAGAGCAGAAGUUUGAAUAUAAAUAUAUAUAUAUAAAUAUAUACAUAAACCGAUGAAUAUACUGUAAAUUGUUUCCUUUUUUGCUCUGUUUUCCUCUGUACAUAGGUUUGCAUAUUUUAUAGGACUUUUACUUCUAUCUACAAGGACUGGAUAAAGUACUUUAAAUACUUAAAAAAAUAUAUGAAUGAAAACAUGAUAAUGCUCAAUAAAACCAGGUACAAAAAAAAAAUAGUCGCUAGGAUACGGUACAAGCUGUAGGACCUGACCAAGGAAAUUUAUCCAGAAUACAGUCAGGGAGAGCAUUGACCUCAGUUAGAGCUUAGACACAUUGACCUAUUUUAUAAAAUAAAAAAUACUUUGAUGGGUUCUAUUCAUUUAUCUAUUUGUUUAGAUAUUUAUUUAUAAGUCAUGUCCAAGAUAAUAUGCAUGCUUUCAUGGCAUUAUUUUUCUAUGAGUUGGUACGUGACCAAAUAGUUUUUAUAUGACAUGCAUGGGCCACUGCUGUGGUCCACCGAUGAUCAUCGCUCCUGUCUGCAGGACCAUGCCUUCAUGAAGGGGGAAACACGCUCCUAUUGACCAAUUGAUGUCAAAGACAGAUUUGUAAUCCUUUAUUUAUUUAUUUAUUUAUUUUGAGUUGAUGUAUUUAUUUAUGUAUUUAUUUGUGCUGUUUGAUUCAAGAUCUGAGCUCUCUUAUUGCCACUGAUCUGUUGCUUUGUAUCACUACAUUGCAUAUUAACACUUCAAGCAACCUCCGUAUUUAACAACUUCAAAGACUGGUUUUUACAUUUUCCUGUUGCCGAUUACCUAUUCAAAGCAAUGCAGUACUAUACUAAAGCCUUAUGUAUAUUUGUAAUUAUUAAUUCAUAUUGUUCUGUUCCUAAAAAAUUUAGCUUUGUUAAAAGAUUGUUAACAAAUGAGCAUUAGCUUCCAUUCUGAAACCUAGGUAAACUUUACAUAAUACAACUGUCCAAUCAGACGUGUAAUCACAAGAACAUAUGCCUUGAGGUCACUAUGAGUUGCUGCUAAUAUACAGUAUAAAAGAGCUGAAGUCUGAUGAAGUACUAAUCUCUGAUUAACUGCCUGAAACAAAAAAAACAUUUUUGAUUUGUUUUGAUUCCCCUGCUCCCCUUUCUCCUCUUGCUUUGCAUUGUUUGACAGAGCUCUGAUCUUGUUCAACUGAUGUGUUCUAACAAGAGUAAAAUUCAAUGAAAACUGCACUAUCUCAUCAGAAACCAUUGAGUUACUAUCAUUCUUUCUCAGUGCUGUUAUCAGUGGUUUUAUUUCUAAAGCGCAGUAGUAUUGCUAGAAUCACAUUUUCCUUCAUAUGGUUUUCAAAGUAUUCUGGAAAUCUAUUUCCCAAUGUCAGCACACACAGAGGGAGGGGAAAUGAAUGUUGCAUAUUAAGCUUUGCCGGGUUCCUGAUGAGCUAAGCUUCUGAUUGGGCAGUGCGCUUUAGGCUCCCGCCCCUGUCUCUCCAGACUGCACCAUUCUCUGGUCCCCUGAACUCUUUUUUUGUAAUUUUAAAUGAAUGAUGCGUCUCAGCUUAGCCCAAUAAUAAAGCACAGUCUAGAA